This 69-nucleotide transfer RNA is filed under the name Acanthaphritis unoorum. RNAcentral describes it as "tRNA-Arg". It matches the Rfam family "tRNA". From Rfam's summary of the family: Transfer RNA (tRNA) molecules are approximately 80 nucleotides in length. Their secondary structure includes four short double-helical elements and three loops (D, anti-codon, and T loops). Further hydrogen bonds mediate the characteristic L-shaped molecular structure. tRNAs have two regions of fundamental functional importance: the anti-codon, which is responsible for specific mRNA codon recognition, and the 3' end, to which the tRNAs corresponding amino acid is attached (by aminoacyl-tRNA synthetases). tRNAs cope with the degeneracy of the genetic code in two manners: having more than one tRNA (with a specific anti-codon) for a particular amino acid; and 'wobble' base-pairing, i.e. permitting non-standard base-pairing at the 3rd anti-codon position. Lineage: Eukaryota; Metazoa; Chordata; Actinopteri; Pempheriformes; Percophidae. The record is from RNAcentral.
AGGCUGUUAAUUUAAUAAAAAUUUUUGAUUUCGGCUCAAAAUACUGUGGUUAAAAUCCACAACCGCCUA